UGAACGCUGGCGGUAUGCUUAACACAUGCAAGUCGAACGGAAACGAUACUAGCUUGCUAGUAGGCGUCGAGUGGCGGACGGGUGAGUAACGCGUAGGAAUCUGCCUGAUAGUGGGGGAUAGCCCGAAGAAAUUCGGAUUAAUACCGCAUAAUCUAUUCGUAGUAAAGUGGGGGACUUUCGAGCCUCACGCUAUCAGAUGAGCCUGCGUAAGAUUAGCUAGUUGGUAGGGUAAAAGCCUACCAAGGCGACGAUCUUUAGCUGGUCUGAGAGGAUGAUCAGCCACAUCGGGACUGAGACACGGCCCGAACUCCUACGGGAGGCAGCAGUGGGGAAUAUUGGACAAUGGGGGCAACCCUGAUCCAGCAAUACCGCGUGUGUGAAGAAGGCCUGAGGGUUGUAAAGCACUUUCAAUUGUGAAGAAAAGCUAGUGGUUAAUAGCCAUUAGCCUUGACGUUAACUUUAGAAGAAGCACCGGCUAACUCCGUGCCAGCAGCCGCGGUAAUACGGAGGGUGCAAGCGUUAAUCGGAAUUACUGGGCGUAAAGCGUGCGUAGGCGGUUUAUUAAGUCAGAUGUGAAAGCCCCGGGCUUAACCUGGGAACUGCAUUUGAAACUGGUCAACUAGAGUAUGGUAGAGGAAAGUGGAAUUUCUGGUGUAGCGGGUGAAAUGCGUAGAUAUCAGAAGGAACAUCAAUGGCGAAGGCAACUUUCUGGACCAAUACUGACGCUGAGGUACGAAAGCGUGGGUAGCAAACAGGAUUAGAUACCCCUGGUAGUCCACGCCGUAAACGAUGAUAACUAGCCGUUGGGGGGAUUUACCCCUUAGUGGCGAAGCUAACGCGUUAAGUUAUCCGCCUGGGGAGUACGGCCGCAAGGUUAAAACUCAAAGGAAUUGACGGGGACCCGCACAAGCGGUGGAGCAUGUGGUUUAAUUCGAUGCAACGCGAAGAACCUUACCUGGUCUUGACAUCCUGCGAACUUUCUAGAAAUAGAUUGGUGCCUUCGGGAACGCAGUGACAGGUGCUGCAUGGCUGUCGUCAGCUCGUGUCGUGAGAUGUUGGGUUAAGUCCCGUAACGAGCGCAACCCCUAUCCUUAUUUGCCAGCACAUCAUGGUGGGAACUAUAAGGAGACUGCCGGUGAUAAACCGGAGGAAGGCGGGGACGACGUCAAGUCAUCAUGGCCCUUACGACCAGGGCUACACACGUGCUACAAUGGGAAGGACAAAGAGCCGCGAAGCCGCGAGGUGUAGCUAAUCUCAGAAACCUUUUCGUAGUCCGGAUUGGAGUCUGCAACUCGACUCCAUGAAGUCGGAAUCGCUAGUAAUCGUAGACUCAGAAUGCUACGGUGAAUACGUUCCCGGGUCUUGUACACACCGC
RNAcentral lists this ribosomal RNA (1375 nucleotides) under uncultured bacterium. RNAcentral describes it as "16S ribosomal RNA". It matches the Rfam family "Bacterial small subunit ribosomal RNA", at positions 30 to 1393 of the family's 1533-position model. The record is from RNAcentral.